ACGGUCCGGUACAGCGACCUCAUUACUGCAAACGCUGCGCCGAUCCGCCUUCGACAUCACUCUCCAACCUUCCCUCACUUGUGAACAAGACCCCAAAAUACUCCUCCACCUGGGGCUGGACCUCAUUCCCAACCCGGGGGGUUCAAUCCACCCUUUUCCAACUGAGAACCACGGCCUCGGAUUUGGAGGUGCUGAGUCUCACCCCAGAAGCUUCACACUCAGAUACAAAGUUAACCCCCAACCGCAUUUGACAAAUUUACACCUUUAUUUAGAUGUUUUUGUCUCUCUAUCUUUUUCUUUAUUAUUUCAGAUUUAUGCUCCUAAAAUGUACAUGAUUUUUUUUUUUUGCAUGCUGGUGCAACAUGUCAAUGGUAACCUUGUAACAUCUCAACAGAACCAAAAAAUGAGUGUAUGUCUCCCAGAGUUUAUAUACUGUACGGUACGAUCCCACUUCUGACACCAACAUGGUGAUCUCUAUAGCUUACUGCAGGAAAGUGUGUUCUUACAAGAAAGAGGCAGUAAUAUCGUAACACCCGUAAUCCAUCGAGCUAAUCACUUCAGCAUAAAGUAGCAUUUCCACAGCAAAGAAGGUACACUUAGGUACACCAUGUCUGUAGUUCUGGUAGUUUCUGACGACGUACCAGAGUGGUCCAGUUUUCAUAUUUAACCUUGUAAACCCCAAUUUUAGUUAGUUAGUUCCUAUUAGUUUAAAUAAUGAUGGAACAUGUCAACAGUAACCUUGUAACACCUAAUCAGAACCAAAAAAUGCAUGUAUGUCUCCCAGUGUUUACAUAGCAUAUAAUCCCCUUUCUGACACCAACAUGGCAAGCAAGCAGGAAAUAUGUGCCAGAAAGAGGCAGCAAAAUGAACUUUAUUUGAGCCCUAUUGACACCUAAACUGUAAACAUCCACUGCCAGUUUAUUAUUUGCUUUGGUACACUUUGCACCCGGCAACUUUAGGAGAUUUGUUGAAUAGGGCCGUCAGUUGGAGCAUUUAGGACAUAUUUCUGUGUAUUUUUAUGUUUCUUGAUCAGAAAUCAUAACAGAAUGUGUGUUCCUAUUACAAAUGUUGGAAAGGCAGCUGAACAAAUGGUGUGCACAUCUGCUUAUCUGAAGGCGGUGCACGUUGUUUGCACAGUUGCCCCAAGAAACAAAGUGCUUCCAAACAACAGAUCAUCUCCACUAAGCUUUGGAGGUACACUGCGGUGGUGGUUUGAGGCCAGGCCAGUAAAUAUCAAAUACUCUUUAUGCCAAAGUGGAUGAAAAAUGGAUUGGAUUGGGUUGAAAGGUGGCGUCGGCCCCUCCCCCCCCCAAAAAAACAAGAUGAUACGACCUCCGUAAAGAAUGUGUCACUCAAUCGGGCCAUGCAAGCCAUGCCUCCUUACGCCAAACCUCGACUAAAAAGCCCAAACGUCUGAAUUUACUGCCAGCUGAUGGAUGAAGUUGUUCUGACGAGGUUGGAACAGCUGGCACGCGGGUGGACGCGUACCGGCAGCAAAUCAAAUCCAGCGAGCGGAUUGUGUGAUUGUUCUCUCGCUGGCAAAGGGGACGGAGACAUGAACGACGACGUGAUGGACUUUUCCAGACGGCUUUGCGCCCAGCAGGAGAAACGAGCUGCGAUCGAGUUCCCAUCACGAAUGGAGGCUGGAGAAAUGUUCCCACGGCGUAGAGCACAUGUUUCAUACGCAAAACAUGGGUGCCUGCGUGUCUCAUCAACCACGUCUGCUUUCUAACCCGUCAUUAGCGUUAGUAUGCUGCAGUGGAACCACCAGGGUGGAAAACGUAACAAUAACCCUAGAACAGGGGUGUCCAAACGUUUUAUAUCACUUAAGUUAUAAGUUUUGGGAUAGGCUCCAGGAGAAGUGGCAUAGAAAAUGGAUGGAUGGAUGGAAGUUAUAAGUACAAAAAGAAUAUAGUCUUGUAAGUAUGCUAGCAGAACAUUAAUAUAAAUAUAAUUCUGCAGCUGCACUUUUUGGGAGGUGUAAAACAGCCUUGAUGUGAAAGUAGCAGAUUUUUUUGGUUAAUUAACGUGUGCCUUUAGUCUGUCAUUUACGGUAAUUUGGUCACGUGGUGCUAAUGGCGGAAGGGAAACACCUGUUGUGUUGUGAAUGGGUAAAGCGCAAACGAUGAGAGAGGAGAAACUUAUUUGUUCGGCGAAAAGUCCAAAAAGCAGCACAAUUACGUGGGAUUGGAUUAAUUUGACGGAGCCCUGUCAGUGCUUGCAGAUGAGGGCGACCACAGCAGGACCUGCUGCUCGUUGAGAAGAGCGAUACAUUCUUUCAUGGUAGACUCUAUGGUGUCCAAAUCUAUUUGUGGGGGUCCACAUAGCACGAUAUUGUCAUCUUGUCUCUUGUCUCAGGUGGUCUGUUAGAGGUUUGACAGAAACAAGCUGGUCCGUGGGAACCACUGCUUUAAAGAAAAAACACUUGAGAGUACAGAUUUUUUUUUUUUUGGAAGUACAAAUAUACACCAAAUGUACUCCAUUACAUUAAUGCGAGUAAAUGAGUUGCUUUCCACCUUGUGCGCGUUUUGCACGUCACAGGGUCAAAGUAGGAGCAGGAAGUUUGGCUGAGGACAACACAGAUGGAGACGUUACAACAUUCCCACUUUUUAGGAACGUUUUUCGGGGAAGCUUGACCUCAACCGGGGGGGACACACUUUGUGACUCGUGGGCAGCUGGUCAGAAUAAAGGAUACUUAAGUAAGCAAGUAAACAAACAAACGGCACACGGCAUUGGUUGGACAAUAUUCAUUUGAAAGAAGUGUUGCGUUGUAUUUGAUUUGGAAAUAAAGUUGUUAGUGGAGUUGCAAAAUAGAGAAAGGGAAACAGUAAACUGGCGUACAGCGUUUGCUAUUUACUGGAAUUCAGAUGAUUGUUUGAUUGUUCACCUCCCACCCGCCCUCAUCGACAUGUUUGCCGUCCGACAAAACCAUGGUGAGACGUAGAAACCAAAGGUAAACAUUAGAGCCGCAACAAUCAGUUGAUGAAUCGUUGGCGUCGACAACUAUUUUGGUAUUCACUUAAUUGUUUUUUGAUUUUAAAAAUGUAAAACAUGCUCACAUGUGAAUGUUGUUUGAUUUCCUUGGUCAUCCACGAAAGCAGACCUAUUAUGUUUGUGUUUUAGGCAAAACAAGAUAUUCACACGUUAGCAUUGACUUUGGAAAACAGCGAUUGGCGCUUGAUGUUUGCUUCAUGAUUGGUCUGUCUAUUAAUCAAAACAACACGCUUCAGAUUCAUCAACUGAGAAAAUAGUCGUUAGUUUGAGCCCAUAAAGAAUGAGUUUUCUGCAGAACUUUGUCAAAUAAAGCCUUGCUGUCCGUCCCCCCCGUCACACAGGCUUGUGCUUCUUUGUAAACAAACCCCCACUCUGCUUUGUUUCAAAGCCUCGUCUUCUCUGAGCUGCCGUGAGGUGGUCCCUUGCCGUGAUGACACGUGUAUCAUUGGAAGCUUGUGAAACUAUUAUACUUAAGUACAAGUGCAGGUAUAACAAGCUAAGAGUGAAAGUAGUUGCUUUAAAGUGGGGGGGGCACGUUUGCAAUCAAACAAAAAUAUGGCAAAAAUAGAAAAAACGAACGCAAACAAUGACUUUUGUCAUAUAAAGCUUGUUCUCUGUCCCCUUUUGUCACACGGGCUUGCGAUGUUUGUAAACAAACCCCCGCUCUGCUUUGUAUUCCCUGAGCUGCUGUGAAGCAUCCCCGUGGAUUACUGCAAUGACACGUACAAUGGUGUGAAAGUGUUUGCCCCCUUCCUGAUUUAUUUUGCAAAAAUUUCAAAUAUUAGUCAACAUUAGACAACACAGUUGAGUAUAUAAAUGAACAUAUAUCUGAUAUUGGCUUUUUUUCAGCCCCCAAUAUUUGUAUCGGCCCCAAAAAUCCAAUUGUUUUAAAUAAGCUUCUUAAUGAGUGUUUUUUUAUAGCCUUUUUUUAUUGCACAUGUGGCCUCACGUGGACCACAGUAAACAUAUGGCUGUGAAAAGACGUUUAUAUGACAUACCUUUACAGCCUUGUCGCUAUCGUGGAAUAGUGUUUAGAAGACAUGUAAACAAGGCAUGACUUACUCUCUUGUGCCAACUUUGACGUUGUGGUUCUUCUUUGUCUUGUUUUUUUCCUGUGUACUGGCGGAAUAGCAUCCUUUUUCAAAAUGCGUUCAUACCGUACUUUCAAGCCAAAUACUUCUUGUAAAGGUGUUCCUUUGAAGCAGUUGUCAGUGAAAUGAUGUGUCUGUGUCUUGUUCUCUUAAACCCUCCUCUUCUGGAAAAGAAAACUUAAGUGUCACUGCGAGACUGUAAACAUCCAGCAGCAACACGUCAUUUCGGUAUGACUACUAUUUUGAUGAAAAAUGUACUGAACCAAGUCAACCAACUACUUCGAGAAGAGUUUGUUUACUCUGCGACAACUAGUUUGUCACGGCUGGUGCCCUGAACUAUAAAUGUAAUCUUUGUGAAUUUUUAAUGUUGGCUUUCGACAAAUUGAGCAAUGUAGAACAUAAUUACAAACAAUAUACACUAGGUCCCCAACUUACGAACACCCGACUAGCGAACACUCGCGAAUACGAACACAAGCCGACUGGUCUAUAUUUUAUUUUAUUUUGCCUUGUAGUCACUCAAUCAGUAUUUCUACUGCUACUGUACAUGCUUGACCAGUAGAGGGCACUGUGA
This is a long non-coding RNA of Dunckerocampus dactyliophorus (ringed pipefish), 4656 nucleotides long. RefSeq lists it as uncharacterized. The transcript has 3 exons. Lineage: Eukaryota; Metazoa; Chordata; Actinopteri; Syngnathiformes; Syngnathidae. The record is from RefSeq and is a predicted model, not a curated record.